GCCGCGCUCUCUCUCUCUCUUCACGUGCGCUCCCAUUAAUGGCUGUCGUUAGGUGUGUAAGGGCCUUCGGCUCGAUGAUGGUUCACCGUGCAGACUUCGUGGCGAGGUGGCCUUCCACAAAAGGUUUGCUUUGGACUCUGUGAUGACGGCCCUUCAUGGUCUGUGGAGAUCUGAGGAGACUCGUCAUGGCGUGACAAGGAGUUGGGCCUCUGCUGCUCCAGGAAGCUCAGUCUGGACAGGCGGCGUGUGACCCCCUCAGUCUGCAGCCUGGCGACGUUUGACGUCGAGUCGGCCGAGUGUGUUGGUCUACGCAGCAGUGAACUGGGACUCCUCGGGAGGCGACGGGUGGCAUCAUGGCACGCUGGCACUAUGUGCACCUGGGUGGCAUCAUGGCACGCUGGCAGUACGGACAGGACACCCGGGUGACUGCGGACAGUCGAGAUGAGCAGGAUGUCAGGGUGGUCUGCGGAUGGACCCUGUGGACUGAGGUGCCACUUUCCUGGUAGUGUAGGCCUUGUGCCAGCUUCUUGAUUGGUUCAAAUAAAAGCCUUUUGUGUUUGACUCA
Long non-coding RNA from Polypterus senegalus (gray bichir), 565 nucleotides. RefSeq lists it as uncharacterized. The record is from RefSeq and is a predicted model, not a curated record. Lineage: Eukaryota; Metazoa; Chordata; Cladistia; Polypteriformes; Polypteridae. The transcript is spliced from 5 exons.